UACGUAGGGUGCGAGCGUUGUCCGGAAUUAUUGGGCGUAAAGGGCUCGUAGGCGGUUUGUCGCGUCGGGAGUGAAAACACCGGGCUUAACUCGGUGCUUGCUUUCGAUACGGGCAGACUAGAGGUAUGCAGGGGAGAACGGAAUUCCUGGUGUAGCGGUGAAAUACGCAGAUAUCAGGAGGAACACCGGUGGCGAAGGCGGUUCUCUGGGCAUUACCUGACGCUGAGGAGCGAAAGCGUGGGGAGCGAACAGG
This 253-nucleotide ribosomal RNA is filed under the name uncultured bacterium. Its description in RNAcentral is "partial 16S ribosomal RNA". It matches the Rfam family "Bacterial small subunit ribosomal RNA", at positions 524 to 776 of the family's 1533-position model. The record is from RNAcentral.